UACGUAGGGGGCAAGCGUUGUCCGGAUUUAUUGGGCGUAAAGAGCGUGUAGGCGGUUCGUUAGGUCCGUUGUGAAAACUCGAGGCUCAACCUCGAGACGCCGAUGGAAACCCCCGAACUAGAGUCCGGAAGAGGAGAGUGGAAUUCCUGGUGUAGCGGUGAAAUGCGCAGAUAUCAGGAAGAACACCCGUGGCUAAGGCGGCUCUCUAGUACGGUACUGACGCUGAGACGCGAAAGCGUGGGGAGCGAACAGG
Molecule: ribosomal RNA, 253 nt
Filed under: uncultured bacterium
Lineage: Bacteria
Description: partial 16S ribosomal RNA
Rfam family: Bacterial small subunit ribosomal RNA
Source: RNAcentral